GAUGAACGCUGGCGGCGUGCCUAAUACAUGCAAGUCGAGCGAACAGACGAGGAGCUUGCUCCUCUGACGUUAGCGGCGGACGGGUGAGUAACACGUGGAUAACCUACCUAUAAGACUGGGAUAACUUCGGGAAACCGGAGCUAAUACCGGAUAAUAUAUUGAACCGCAUGGUUCAAUAGUGAAAGACGGUUUUGCUGUCACUUAUAGAUGGAUCCGCGCCGCAUUAGCUAAUUGGUAAGGUAACGGCUUACCAAGGCAACGAUGCGUAGCCGACCUGAGAGGGUGAUCGGCCACACUGGAACUGAGACCCGGUCCAGACUCCUACGGGAGGCAGCAGUAGGGAAUCUUCCGCAAUGGGCGAAAGCCUGACGGAGCAACGCCGCGUGAGUGAUGAAGGUCUUCGGAUCGUAAAACUCUGUUAUUAGGGAAGAACAAAUGUGUAAGUAACUAUGCACGUCUGGACGGUACCUAAUCAGAAAGCCACGGCUAACUACGU
Molecule: ribosomal RNA, 496 nt
Filed under: uncultured bacterium
Lineage: Bacteria
Description: partial 16S ribosomal RNA
Rfam family: Bacterial small subunit ribosomal RNA
Source: RNAcentral